RNAcentral lists this long non-coding RNA (655 nucleotides) under Coturnix japonica (Japanese quail). RNAcentral's name for it is "lncRNA (ENSCJPG00005000111.1)". The record is from RNAcentral. Lineage: Eukaryota; Metazoa; Chordata; Aves; Galliformes; Phasianidae.
AAGCCACAGAAUUGCUGAGUUGGAAGAGGCUAACAGAUCAUGGAGUCCAACUUUCCAAUCAGCAGUGCCUUCCAUAAUCCUCAUUCCUGUACUGCUCUUGAAAGAAGAAAAAAAUCUUAAUUGAGAGAAUAAAAAUGUUGCACUUUUUAUUUUCUGUUCAGGGAGGGUCUUCUGUCAGUGAUAAUGGCAAUGAAUCCUAUGGUCAGGAUGGAUCUUCUGCAUAUGGUGGCACUGCCUCUUAUGGUCAGGACUCACCAUCCAUGGGAGUUAGUGAAUCUGAUUACAGUGAUUCCGCCUCAUCAUCUUACAACCGUCAGAGUGAACGGGAUUUUUAUUCCCCUGGAGGCAGCCAGUCAGGUGGACAUGGAUUAUCUUCUCAAGGUGGUGGCUACUCCGGUGGACAGGGCUCAUCCUCAUUAGGAAGCAACCAGUAUGGUGGGCAGGGUAUGCCUUCAAGAGGCAGCCAGUCUGGUGGACAGGGUGGAUGUCAUUGUCCUGGUGGGAGCCCGGGCUCUUUUGGAGGAAGCAACUACCAUGGUGGACAGGGCUCAUCUUAUUCUGGAGGCCGACAGCAUGGUAAACCAGUAAGUAAAAACUUAUCAAGUUUUCCUUAUAUUUUUCUCAUUACUCUGUUAUAUACAAAAAGAGUUUUUUU